UAGAGUGAGAGAAGUAGAGAAACAGUUGGAGGGAGAUAUACUGAGAGAGAGGGGGGGGGGUAGAGCCCAUUGGAUUAGAGUGAAAUAAAUAGAGAAACAGUUGGAGGGAUAUAUUCUGAGAGAGAGAAAGAGAGAGAGAGAGAGAGAGAGAGAGAGAGAGAGAGAGAGAAAGGAAUCAGGUCAUGUCGAGCUCUAACUUCUGAACAAAUCACACAAUGCCCACACAAUGCUGUCCCUACCAUCAAUGAGGCUUCUAAAGCAUCAUAAACAGCCAGCAGCACCAGCAGAGACCGAGCAUGAUCAUGGGCUUCAGUGAGCAUGGAAGUCAACCGGAUAAAGAUCUCAUGUUCCCCUGUGGACAUGAUGCUGCACACGGAACAUGCUGUGGGAUGCACUCCAUCUCCACACAUACCAAAGAGACAUACACCCCUGCACUGCUUAAACAUUGAGUCAGGAAAUAGAUUUGAAAAAAGUGUCAUUUCCUCCCUCUUCCUCCUUCCUCCAUGCUCACUGAUGAUGAAAAGACCAC
RNAcentral lists this long non-coding RNA (529 nucleotides) under Salmo salar (Atlantic salmon). RNAcentral describes it as "lncRNA (ENSSSAG00000097387.1)". Lineage: Eukaryota; Metazoa; Chordata; Actinopteri; Salmoniformes; Salmonidae. The record is from RNAcentral.